ACCACAAAACCAGGAGUGCAUGAAUAUGCGCACUCCUGGGACAACACAUGACACAUGAAACAAGUUAACAAGGUAGUAGUCACUAGUCUGUAAGUGUUCUUGCAGCUAACUCCAACUCUUUCCUCGUGUCAGCCUCUUACUGUCUAUAGAAUCCCUGAGGUGCAGUAGAGGAACCGAGGCUGGUAGUGCGGACUCAUAGAAGCUGUGCACACAAACAAACACACUGGUAGCUGAGAAGCAUCAUGCGACAUUAUAUUCAGAUGAUUCCUACAGAGAGAAAUUGAACAGUGAACAAUGAUUCUGAACAAUGUCACUGAAUGUAUGAUUUGGUUGUUACAAUUACCAAAGUGAACCCACACUAGUACAAUAUGACAUUUUUUUUUCAGUUA
This is a long non-coding RNA of Halichondria panicea, 389 nucleotides long. RefSeq lists it as uncharacterized. Lineage: Eukaryota; Metazoa; Porifera; Demospongiae; Suberitida; Halichondriidae. The record is from RefSeq and is a predicted model, not a curated record. The transcript is spliced from 2 exons.